GCAGGCUGCAACCCGCCUGCAUGAAGUUGGAAUCGCUAGUAAUCGCGGAUCAGCAUGCCGCGGUGAAUACGUUCCCGGGCCUUGUACACACCGCCCGUCACACCAUGAGAGUCGGGAACACCCGAAGUCCGUAGCCUGACCGCAAGGGGGGCGCGGCCGAAGGUGGGUUCGAUAAUUGGGGUGAAGUCGUAACAAGGUACC
Molecule: ribosomal RNA, 201 nt
Filed under: uncultured bacterium
Lineage: Bacteria
Description: partial 16S ribosomal RNA
Rfam family: Bacterial small subunit ribosomal RNA
Source: RNAcentral